This 253-nucleotide ribosomal RNA is filed under the name uncultured bacterium. Its description in RNAcentral is "partial 16S ribosomal RNA". It matches the Rfam family "Bacterial small subunit ribosomal RNA", at positions 524 to 776 of the family's 1533-position model. The record is from RNAcentral.
GACGUAGGAGGCGAGCGUUAUCCGGAUUCACUGGGCGUAAAGCGCAUGUAGGCGGUUUUGUAAGUCCGCGGUUAAAGCCCCUGGCUCAACUGGGGGAGGUCCGUGGAGACUGUGGGACUUGAGGGCAACAGAGGCACGUGGAACUCCCGGUGUAGCGGUGGAAUGCGUAGAGAUCGGGAAGAACACCAGUGGCGAAGGCGACGUGCUGGGUUGCACCUGACGCUGAGAUGCGAAAGUGUGGGGAGCAAACGGG